AGAGUUUGAUCAUGGCUCAGAACGAACGUUGGCGGCAUGGAUUAGGCAUGCAAGUCGAGGGAAUCCCAGCAAUGGGGGAACCGGCGUAAGGGGCAGUAAGGCGUGGGUACCUACCCCGGGGUUCGGGAUAGCCAUCAGAGAUGGUGGGUAAUACCGGAUGACGUGGUGACACCAAAGAUUUAUCGCCCCGGGAGGGGCCCACGUGAUAUUAGCUUGUUGGUGAGGUAACGGCUCACCAAGGCCAAGAUGUCUAGCGGGUAUGAGAGUACGACCCGCGCCACUCGCACUGAGACACUGGCGAGACACCUACGGGUGGCUGCAGUCGAGGAUCUUCGUCAAUGGGCGCAAGCCUGAACGAGCGAUGCCGCGUGCGCGAUGAAGGCCUUCGGGUUGUAAAGCGCUGUCGAGGGGGAGAAAAGCCGAAAGGUCUGAUCUAUCCCUGGAGGAAGCUCGGGCUAAGUUCGUGCCAGCAGCCGCGGUAAGACGAACCGAGCGAACGUUGUUCGGAAUCACUGGGCUUAAAGGGCGCGUAGGCGGGCUGUCAAGUCUGGGGUGAAAUCCCGCGGCUCAACCGUGGAACUGCCUCAGAUACUGACGGCCUCGAGGGAGGUAGGGGCGAGCGGAACUCUCAGUGGAGCGGUGAAAUGCGUUGAUAUUGGGAGGAACUCCGGUGGCGAAAGCGGCUCGCUGGACCUUUUCUGACGCUGAGGCGCGAAAGCUAGGGGAGCAAACGGGAUUAGAUACCCUAGUAGUCC
RNAcentral lists this ribosomal RNA (755 nucleotides) under uncultured bacterium. RNAcentral's name for it is "bacterial SSU rRNA". It matches the Rfam family "Bacterial small subunit ribosomal RNA", at positions 8 to 796 of the family's 1533-position model. The record is from RNAcentral.